Molecule: ribosomal RNA, 115 nt
Filed under: Danio rerio (zebrafish)
Lineage: Eukaryota; Metazoa; Chordata; Actinopteri; Cypriniformes; Danionidae
Source: RNAcentral
ACCAGCAGCUAUCUCUCUUCAACUCUCACAUGGUUUCCCACUGAAGCUGAGCUGGGCUGAGUGUGGUCAGUGUCUGAAAGGGAGACCGCAUGGGAAUGCAAGGCUGCUGUUGGCA